AAUUAGCGGAUGACUUGUGGCUGGGGGUGAAAGGCCAAUCAAACCGGGAGAUAGCUGGUUCUCCCCGAAAGCUAUUUAGGUAGCGCCUCGUGAAUUCAUCUCCGGGGGUAGAGCACUGUUUCGGCAAGGGGGUCAUCCCGACUUACCAACCCGAUGCAAACUGCGAAUACCGGAGAAUGUUAUCACGGGAGACACACGGCGGGUGCUAACGUCCGUCGUGAAGAGGGAAACAACCCAGACCGCCAGCUAAGGUCCCAAAGUCAUGGUUAAGUGGGAAACGAUGUGGGAAGGCCCAGACAGCCAGGAUGUUGGCUUAGAAGCAGCCAUCAUUUAAAGAAAGCGUAAUAGCUCACUGGUCGAGUCGGCCUGCGCGGAAGAUGUAACGGGGCUAAACCAUGCAC
This 401-nucleotide ribosomal RNA is filed under the name Escherichia coli. Its description in RNAcentral is "partial 23S ribosomal RNA". It matches the Rfam family "Bacterial large subunit ribosomal RNA", at positions 795 to 1194 of the family's 2925-position model. Lineage: Bacteria; Pseudomonadati; Pseudomonadota; Gammaproteobacteria; Enterobacterales; Enterobacteriaceae. The record is from RNAcentral.